This 252-nucleotide ribosomal RNA is filed under the name uncultured bacterium. RNAcentral's name for it is "partial 16S ribosomal RNA". It matches the Rfam family "Bacterial small subunit ribosomal RNA", at positions 524 to 776 of the family's 1533-position model. The record is from RNAcentral.
UACGUAGGGCGCGAGCGUUGUCCGGAAUUAUUGGGCGUAAAGAGCUCGUAGGCGGCCUGUUGCGUCUGCUGUGAAAUCCCGGGGCUUAACCCCGGGCGUGCAGUGGAUACGGGCAGGCUGGAGGCAGGCAGGGGAGAACGGAAUUCCCGGUGUAGCGGUGAAAUGCGCAGAUAUCAGAGGAACACCGGUGGCGAAGGCGGGUCUCUGGGCCGAUACUGACGCUGAGGUGCGAAAGCGUGGGGAGCAAACAGG